UCCCAUAACAUUUCAUUCUCCGCCUAAAUAGGAAAUUCUACGACAUUAUUGCAUGAUCGCACCACAUUCCUCUACAAUCUUUAUUGAAUAGUAAUAAUGUAGUUGGGUUGGAAAGACUGGAAAUUUGAAACCCUAGCUGGAAAUUCGAAAUUUAGAGACAAAAAACGUUCAUUUCUUUUGCCUUUCCCAGUUAUUCCUUGUUUUGUUUUCAUGCAUUCCCCUUUGUCUCACAUCCCUUUAUCUCAAUUUUGGAAGCUCCUUUAUCCCAGGUAGGUUUGAUUAAUUUCGGGGGUUGAGAGAUAUGGGAAAGCCUACCACCGCUAGGAGGAGAUACCAAAUAGGGUCGAAAUCCGACGCGAAGGCCGGCAAACGCGAUGAAGACACCGCCAUUUUCAUCUACAUGUCUAAGGAACUGAAGCAAGAAGGGAAGAGGUUGUACCAGAAACACGACCACGAGGGCGCCAUGUCCAACUAUGAGAAGGCUCUCAAAUUGCUGCCGCCCAAUCAUAUCGAUGUUGCAUCGCUGCGGACUAACAUGGCAGCUUGUUACAUGCAAAUGGGGAUCGGUGAGCACCCGAGAGCUGUGAACGAGUGCAAUUUGGCUCUUCAAGUAGCUCCCAAGUUUAGCAAGGCUCUGCUUAAGCGGGCGAGGUGCUAUGAGGCUUUGAAUCGGCUUGACUUGGCUCUAACAGAUGUGAGUAUUGUGUUGAGCAUGGAGCCUAAUAAUGCCACUGCUUUGGAGAUCGCGGAGAAUGUGAGAAGGGGGAUUGAGAAAGGCGGCCUUCAGAUUGGAGAUAAGGAGGUUCUUUUGCCCCAUGAGAAUGUUCCUCUGCCUGUACCCCCGCCCCCGCCUGUGCCUGGAAAGAUUGCCAAAGAGAAGGGGAAAAGGAAGAAAAAUACCAAGUUGAAGAAUGUGAAUGAAGUUGUGGAAAAGAAGACAGAGCAUAAGGUGGUUGUAGAGGAGAAAGUGGUUAUGAAGUCGGUGAAAUUGGUUCAUGGUGAGGAUAUACGAGGGGCGCAGUUGCCUGUCAAUUGCGGGGCUCGUCUGUUGAGGGAUAUAGUUGUUGACAGGUUCCCAAGUUUGAUGGGUGUACUGAUCAAGUAUAAGGAUCAAGAAGGGGACUUGGUUACCAUCACUACCACGGAUGAGCUGAGGGUAGCUGAAGGACUGGUUCAUCCUCAAGGAUUUUUUAGACUGUACAUUGCUGAAGUUAGUCCUGACAAAGAACCUAUUUAUGAAGGCACGGGCAUUGAAGAAGCGUUAAGCAAAGGCCAUCAGAAACCAUUGGUGGUGACAAAGAACAUUCAUGCAGAUGACAAAGGGUCAACUUGUAUUGAGGAUUGGAUCGUCCAGUUUGCAAGUCUGUUCAAGAGUCAUGUCGGGUUUGACUGUGAUUCAUACAUGGAUAUUCAGCAAAUGGGAAUGAAAUUAUAUUCAGAAGCACUGGAACAUACUGUUACAAGUAAAGAAGCUCAAGAGUUAUUUGACAUAGCUGCAGCCAAGUUCCGGGAGUUAACUGCUUUAGCCUUGUUUAACUGGGGAAACGUUCACUUGUCUAAGGCAAGGAAAAGGAUGGCUUCUGAUGCAGAUAGUUUAUCUGAAGCCACUGGAUCAUCAGUGGUGCAGGUUAAAGAUGCUUAUGAUUGGGCACAAAAACAAUACACAAAGGCGGGCAUGAAGUACGAGGAAGCUCUUAAAGUCAAGCCAGACUUUUAUGAAGGGUAUCUUGCUCUUGGCCUGCAGCAAUUUGAACAAGUGAAGCUUUCCUGGUAUUAUGUGCUUGGGAGCAAGUCUGACUUAGAGAUAGGCUCAUGUUCACAGAUAUUGGAACUAUAUAACAAAGCUGAAGAUAGCAUGGAGAAAGGGAUGCAAAUCUGGGAAGAGAUUGAAGAACAACGCCUUAAUGGAAUCUCGAAAUAUGAAACAGAUAAAGCUUUGUUUCAAAAAUUUGGUUUAGGUGGGUUAUUUAAAGAUAUCUCAGCUGAUGAAGCUUCUGAGCAAGCUAAAAAUAUGAGGUCCCAGAUCAAUCUCUUAUGGGGUACAAUGCUGUAUGAGCGUUCCCUUGUGGAAUAUAAGUUGAGCCUCCAAACUUGGGAAGAAUGCCUAGAGGUUGCAGUUGAAAAGUUUGAACUUGCUGGAGCAUCAGAAACAGAUAUUACUGUACUAAUAAAAAAUCAUUGCUCGAACGACACUGCUUUAGAAGGAUUCAAGGUCGACGAGCUAGUACAGGCAUGGAAUGAGAUGUAUGAUUCUGAUAGGUGGCGAUCUAACGUGACAUCUUCCCACAUGGAACCGCUUUUCAGAAGACGCUCUUCUGACCUUCAUUCAGCUAUGGAGAAUUUUGAGUGACUUUUGUUGAUAAUUCAAUAGAAGGCCAUAACAUUAGAGUUAUUUGUAAGUGCUUGUUUACCCCUGGAUUCUUUAGGUUACAAAUAGUAGUAGUUGUAAUGGGUCUUUUCUGUUUAGUUGAAGCGAAGAAAAGGAGUCCCAAUUACAUGUUGGUGUCACAUUUCUCUUUUUUUGUUGGUUUAGUUGCAAAGUUGGAUGAUUAGGGUUGGAUUGAUCUGUCUGGCCCAGUCUCUGUGUUUUUUUAUUGGGAGAGAGACGUACAAAGCAUAAUAGGAUUUAAGUAGUAAUUGUGUAUUAUAUUUUAUUUUUAAUUAUAUUUAUAUUUUAUAUUAAAUUGUUUUAUUA
RNA transcript from Salvia splendens (bonfire salvia), 2695 nucleotides. It is a transcript of the gene named protein PHOX1, with no coding region annotated. The transcript is spliced from 4 exons. Lineage: Eukaryota; Viridiplantae; Streptophyta; Magnoliopsida; Lamiales; Lamiaceae. The record is from RefSeq and is a predicted model, not a curated record.